RNAcentral lists this ribosomal RNA (445 nucleotides) under uncultured bacterium. RNAcentral's name for it is "partial 16S ribosomal RNA". It matches the Rfam family "Bacterial small subunit ribosomal RNA", at positions 354 to 796 of the family's 1533-position model. The record is from RNAcentral.
GUGAGGAAUAUUGCGCAAUGGAGGCAACUCUGACGCAGCCAUGCCGCGUGCAGGAAGAAGGCGCUACGCGUUGUAAACUGCUUUUAACCGGGAAGCAACCCCAGGACGUGUCCUGGGUUGACGGUACCGGAGGAAUAAGCACCGGCUAACUUCGUGCCAGCACCCGCGGUAAUACGAAGGGUGCAAGCGCUAUCCGGAUUCAUUGGGUUUAAAGGGUGCGUAGGCGGAGCGUUAAGUCAGUGGUGAAAUCCUGCAGCUUAACUGUAGACUUGCCAUUGAUACUGGCGCGCGUGAGUGCGGUUGAAGUGGGCGGAAUGUGCCGUGUAGCGGUGAGAUGCUUAGGUAUGGCACAGAACACCAAUUGCGAAGGCAGCUCACUAAGGCGAUACUGACGCUGAGGCACGAAAGCGUGAGGAUCGAACAGGAUUAGAUACCCCAGUAGUCC